RNAcentral lists this ribosomal RNA (907 nucleotides) under Gammaproteobacteria bacterium. Its description in RNAcentral is "bacterial LSU rRNA". It matches the Rfam family "Bacterial large subunit ribosomal RNA", at positions 1 to 867 of the family's 2925-position model. The record is from RNAcentral. Lineage: Bacteria; Pseudomonadati; Pseudomonadota; Gammaproteobacteria.
AGUCAAGCUGCUAAGGGCACGCGAAGGAUGCCUUGGCACAGGAGAUCGAUGAAGGACGUGGUAAGCUGCGAAAAGCCACGGGGAGGUGCAAGCGACCUUAGAUCCGUGGAUAUCCGAAUGGGGCAACCCACCUGCGGUAAUGCGCAGGUAUCCCGUGUAAGCGGGAGGAUAACCCGGGGAAGUGAAACAUCUAAGUACCCGGAGGAAAAGAAAGAGAGAUCGAUUCCCGUAGUAGCGGCGAGCGAACUGGGAAGAGCCUAAACCUGUCUGCAUGUAUAAGGCUGCAACCGUUGUGCAGCAGGGGUAGUGGGAUGUGAGGUUGACAAGUUGCAGCUUGUCAGAGGAGUUAGAAAGUUGGUUGGUAGCAGAAUCAUCUGGAAAGUUGAGCCACAGCGGGUGAUAGCCCCGUAUGCGAAAUCAACCAGCCUCCUUUCUCACACACCCGAGUACCGCGGGACACGUGAAAUCCUGUGGGAAUCUGUGCCGACCACGGCAUAAGGCUAAAUAUGCUCCUGUGACCGAUAGUGAACCAGUACCGUGAGGGAAAGGUGAAAAGCACCCCGGAAGGGGAGUGAAAUAGUACCUGAAAUCGCGUGCCUACAACCAGUCGGAGCUCCGGUAUAUCCGGGGUGACGGCGUGCCUUUUGCAUAAUGAGCCAGCGAGUUGUGGUAAGCAGCGUAGGUUAAGUCUUUCAGAGACGAAGCCGUAGCGAAAGCGAGUCUGAAUAGGGCGUCAUAGUUGCUUGCUGCAGACGCGAAGCCGGGUGAUCUACCCAUGGCCAGGAUGAAGGUUCGGUAACACGAACUGGAGGUCCGAACCCACUGGUGUUGAAAAACCAGGGGAUGAGCUGUGGGUAGGGGUGAAAGGCCAAUCAAACUCGGAGAUAGCUCGUUCUCCCCGAAAUAU